This 271-nucleotide long non-coding RNA is filed under the name Hordeum vulgare. RNAcentral describes it as "long non-coding RNA (HVUL_LNC011897)". Lineage: Eukaryota; Viridiplantae; Streptophyta; Magnoliopsida; Poales; Poaceae. The record is from RNAcentral.
UGGGGUGUAUGACAGUUCUCAUUUUAAGUCUAGAUAUAUGACACUAAACUAUGUAGAGCAAAGUCAUGUACAAUAUAUUCUAGUUGUCAUGUGUGUAUAGCUUUGUUUCACAUCAAUUCUGAGCGCAUGAUGCUACUUCUUGAGACUAAUGAAUAUUUUAAGCAUACAUGGCCGCAUGCACUAGGGUUGCUUUUUACCAAGUUUACAUCCUAUGCUAAUCAAGGUUGUUAACUAGGCAGACGGUAUGCAAAUAUUAUUUUAUUUGAUUUUU